ACUCUUAAAAAUUAAAGUACCAUGAUCAGGAAGGUGGUUUACCCAAUGCAAGGCUUAUCCAUGGCACUUUGGAUGUGCUGACUUCUGUGAUUUCCUCGAAUGUGUCCUCAACUGCAUAAUUUGUGGUAGUGGGGGACUGAGUUUGCGCUUUCCCAAA
Molecule: small nuclear RNA, 157 nt
Organism: Ictidomys tridecemlineatus (thirteen-lined ground squirrel)
Lineage: Eukaryota; Metazoa; Chordata; Mammalia; Rodentia; Sciuridae
Gene: U1
Rfam family: U1 spliceosomal RNA
About the family: U1 is a small nuclear RNA (snRNA) component of the spliceosome (involved in pre-mRNA splicing). Its 5' end forms complementary base pairs with the 5' splice junction, thus defining the 5' donor site of an intron.
Source: Ensembl